Molecule: ribosomal RNA, 808 nt
Filed under: uncultured bacterium
Lineage: Bacteria
Description: bacterial SSU rRNA
Rfam family: Bacterial small subunit ribosomal RNA
Source: RNAcentral
AGAGUUUGAUCCUGGCUCAGAACGAACGCUGGCGGCGUGGAUAAGACAUGCAAGUCGAACGGGACAACAUUUGUAGCAAUACAGAUGUUGUUUAGUGGCGAACGGGUGCGUAACACGUGGGGAAUCUGCCGAGAAGUGGGGGAUAGCUCGCCGAAAGGCGAAUUAAUACCGCAUACGAUCAGGGAAGACAUCUUUCCGACAUCAAAGCCGGGGCAACCUGGCGUUUCUUGAUGACCCCGCGGCCUAUCAGCUAGUUGGUGAGGUAACGGCCCACCAAGGCAAUGACGGGUAGCUGGUCUGAGAGGACGACCAGUCACACUGGAACUGAGACACGGUCCAGACACCUACGGGUGGCAGCAGUCGAGAAUUUUUCUCAAUGGGGGCAACCCUGAAGGAGCGACGCCGCGUGGAGGAUGAAGGCUUUCGGGUUGUAAACUCCUGUCAUUUGAGAACAAGGUGCACCGGUUAACUGCCGGUGCAUUGAUAGUAUCAGAAGAGGAAGGGACGGCUAACUCUGUGCCAGCAGCCGCGGUAAUACAGAGGUCCCAAGCGUUGUUCGGAUUCAUUGGGCGUAAAGGGUGCGUAGGUGGCGCCGUAAGUGGGGUGUGAAAUCUCGGGGCUUAACUCCGAAACUGCAUUCCAUACUGCGGUGCUUGAGGACUGGAGAGGAGACUGGAAUUUACGGUGUAGCAGUGAAAUGCGUAGAGAUCGUAAGGAAGACCAGUGGCGAAGGCGGGUCUCUGGACAGUUCCUGACACUGAGGCACGAAGGCCAGGGGAGCAAACGGGAUUAGAUACCCUAGUAGUCC